Ochotona curzoniae (black-lipped pika) is the source of this 810-nucleotide long non-coding RNA. RefSeq lists it as uncharacterized. The record is from RefSeq and is a predicted model, not a curated record. The transcript has 3 exons. NCBI's taxonomy places the organism in Eukaryota, Metazoa, Chordata, Mammalia, Lagomorpha, Ochotonidae.
UUGCUUAAGCUGCUAUGCCACAGUACUGGCUCUGGGAAUUGUUUUAUUAAGCAAAACUCUCCUUUUUAAAUUGCUCCCUAAUCUUAAACUCUCAAAUAGGAAACAUUAACAGGAACUGUUUUUAAAUUUGUAUAUUGACUUUACUACAGGUUGACAUACUCUUUACUUUUCCUGGAAGGUUUUAUGAAUACAGAAUCUGUUCAUGCAUUAGAAGGCUGCUUGGAGUAAAGAAGAAAAAGCUCUGAGUGCUGUCCUUAUGAACAAGUUGGUGUAACCCUGUGUGUGCCUGGAGAGUUACAGUUUGUCUAGAGAUUUGAAUACAGUGUUACCUAUAUUAGGUUUACAGAUUUUGUCAAGAAGUAUUAUUCUUGUCCAUACUUUGUGACAGUUAAGUUCCUGGGUUACUAAUGAUAAUCGAACCAAUAAAAUUAAAAUUCAUUUUGUAAAGAAGAGAUCCAAAACCCAGCAUAAACAUAUUUAAAUGAGAAAGAAAAAACUUUUUCAAUAGAAGUUCUUCGUUUCAUUUCACAGUUUCUCCUAACAAAUCUCUUACUGUUUGCACUGAAGACGCUUGCUGAUAAAAUGAAUGACUUUGUAUGUGCACAGUGAAUGGAGAAUCAUCUGACAAAUUGAAGUAAAUUAUUUGAAACAAUAAGCCGUAUCUUAUCUACUCUUGUAGCUCCAGGAACCGACAUGGAACCAGGCAUUUUAUUAACUCUAGAGAAACAGACCAGAGAAACCACCAAAUCAAUAAGCUGAAAUGGGUUCCAUGAAGCACGCUUGAGAUAAUAAAUUACAACAUACUUCACA